This 427-nucleotide ribosomal RNA is filed under the name uncultured bacterium. RNAcentral describes it as "partial 16S ribosomal RNA". It matches the Rfam family "Bacterial small subunit ribosomal RNA", at positions 355 to 774 of the family's 1533-position model. The record is from RNAcentral.
UGGGGAAUAUUGGACAAUGGGCGAAAGCCUGAUCCAGCCAUGCCGCGUGUGUGAAGAAGGUCUUAGGAUUGUAAAGCACUUUAAGUUGGGAGGAAGGGCAGUUACCUAAUACGUAAUUGUUUUGACGUUACCGACAGAAUAAGCACCGGCUAACUCUGUGCCAGCAGCCGCGGUAAUACAGAGGGUGCAAGCGUUAAUCGGAAUUACUGGGCGUAAAGCGCGCGUAGGUGGUUUGUUAAGUUGGAUGUGAAAUCCCCGGGCUCAACCUGGGAACUGCAUUCAAAACUGACUGACUAGAGUAUGGUAGAGGGUGGUGGAAUUUCCUGUGUAGCGGUGAAAUGCGUAGAUAUAGGAAGGAACACCAGUGGCGAAGGCGACCACCUGGACUAAUACUGACACUGAGGUGCGAAAGCGUGGGGAGCAAACA